AUAAAUAAGCGGUGGAAAAGAAACCAAACGGGAUUUCCUUAGUAACGGCGAGCGAAAAGGAAACAAGUCCAGCACCAAGUCUUGAUACCUAGGUAUUCAAGAGAUGCGGUGUUUGAUGUAUCGAUUAUCAUGCAUUGUUCCAGGUUUCAAGUUCCUACGACCGGGACUUCCAGAGCGGGUGUAAGACCCAUAGAGACUUUUGGAACUGRUGUAUGCUUUGCGAUACAUUCUAGAGUCAGGUUGCUUGAGAGUGCAGCUUAAAUUAGGUGGUAAACUCCAUCCAAGACUAAAUAUUACAGCGAGACCGAUAGCAAACAAGUACCGUGAGGGAAAGUUGCAAAGCACUUUGAAGAGAGAGUUCAAAAGAACGUGAAACCACUGGGAGGCAAACGGAUGGAACCACGAAGUUGGCGCUCCACUCGAUUCAAUCAUCAUCAUUUGUUAAUUGUUUUCAAAUUGGAACUUUUCGGAGUUUGUUUGGAARCAAUUUGCAACGAAUGAUGUUGGUGCAUUUCGUUUAGUGGAGAUGCAAAGCCACGUUCAACUAGAAAGUUGGGACGGCAUUGAUGAUAGGAACUAAGAAAGGUGCCCGUCAAGUGCCUAGCAUUUGACGGUGUUAUAGUCUUGGUUCGGAACCGUCWCCAAACAAACUGGUUGAUAAAAUUUCUCCCAAUUGGGAGUAUUCCUUACAUUUGCCUACGAUUGUUAGUCUAUUUGUACAUUGAUGUUGUUUGUGUAUCUUUCGAUGCGGAAAUACUCGAUGUACAGGUAGGUUAAUAGUUGUUUGCACAAUGUAAGUGGAACUGUGGCGUGAGUAGGUCGGUCUCCAUCCGACCCGUCUUGAAACACGGACCAAGGAGCCUAUCAUGUACGCGAGUCGCUCGGUCUUGUUUAGGCCUGGGAGGCGAAAUGAAAGUAAUUGUUACGAGAUCCUUAUGGAUUGCAGUAACAGCUCGCCCACUUUGUUUAAUUUGGCAAUAUGGCGAAGCUGGAGCGUAUACGAUGGUACCCGAAAGAUGGUGAACUAUGCCUGGGCAAGACGAAGCCAGAGGAAACUCUGGUGGAGGUCUGUAGCGAUUCUGACGUGCAAAUCGAUCGUCAGACCUGGGUAUAGGGGCGAAAGACUAAUCGAACCAUCUAGUAGCUGGUUCCCUCCGAAGUUUCCCUCAGGAUAGCAGGCAUUUUUGGAAGUAGUCUCAUCCGGUAAAGCUAAUGAUUAGAGGUCUUGGGGUUGAAACGACCUCAACCUAUUCUCAAACUUUAAAUGGGUGAGAUGGUUGACUUUCUUGAUUGAAGCCAACCAUUUGGAUACAAGUGCCUAGUGGGCCAUUUUUGGUAAGCAGAACUGGCGCUGUGGGAUGAACCAAACGUCGAGAUAAGGCAUCAAAUGCUGUACGCUCAUCAGACCCCAUGAAAGGUGUUGGUUGCUAUAGACAGCAGGACGGUGGCCAUGGAAGUCGGAAUCCGCCAAGGAGUGUGUAACAACUCACCUGCCGAAGCAACUAGCCCUGAAAAUGGACGAUGCUGUAGCGUGGGGCCGAUACUCGACCGUUACAGUGAAUCUACUGAAAUAAGAUACUGUAACGAGUAGGAGGGUCGCAGUGUUGGCGUUGAAGGUGUCCGGCGUGAGCCGGCCUGGAGCCAUCAUUGUU
RNAcentral lists this ribosomal RNA (1652 nucleotides) under Proctophyllodes attenuatus. Its description in RNAcentral is "eukaryotic LSU rRNA". It matches the Rfam family "Eukaryotic large subunit ribosomal RNA", at positions 42 to 1443 of the family's 3401-position model. Lineage: Eukaryota; Metazoa; Arthropoda; Arachnida; Sarcoptiformes; Proctophyllodidae. The record is from RNAcentral.